This is a small nucleolar RNA of Eutrema salsugineum, 107 nucleotides long. It matches the Rfam family "Plant small nucleolar RNA R71". From Rfam's summary of the family: R71 is a member of the C/D box family of snoRNAs containing the C (UGAUGA) and D (CUGA) box motifs. Multiple nearly identical copies of this snoRNA have been identified in Arabidopsis, and it is thought to function as a 2'-O-ribose methylation guide for 18S ribosomal RNA. The record is from Rfam. NCBI's taxonomy places the organism in Eukaryota, Viridiplantae, Streptophyta, Magnoliopsida, Brassicales, Brassicaceae.
AACCCAUGAUGUGGACACUGGUUGGUGUAACUCCUUAACCUCUCCCAAGCUUUCCCAAAGCUUUCACUGUUGUGCUGGGUAAAGCUUGAUAUCUGGUUCCUCAGCUU